GUGUCAGCAGCCGCGGUAAUACGGGGGGAGCAAGCGUUGUUCGGAUUUACUGGGCGUAAAGGGCGGGUAGGCGGCACUGCAAGUCGACUGUGAAAUCUCCGGGCUUAACUCGGAAAGGUCAGCCGAUACUGCGGGGCUAGAGUGCAGAAGGGGCAACUGGAAUUCUCGGUGUAGCGGUGAAAUGCGUAGAUAUCGAGAGGAACACCUGCGGCGAAGGCGGGUUGCUGGGCUGACACUGACGCUGAACUGCGAAAGCUAGGGGAGCGAACGGGAUUAGAAACCCUCGUAGUCC
RNAcentral lists this ribosomal RNA (292 nucleotides) under uncultured bacterium. RNAcentral's name for it is "partial 16S ribosomal RNA". It matches the Rfam family "Bacterial small subunit ribosomal RNA", at positions 505 to 796 of the family's 1533-position model. The record is from RNAcentral.